CUAUAUUAACUGCAAUAAAUACACUGUGUACUAUUUUAACUGCAAUAAAUGCACCAUGUACUACAUUGACUGCAAUAAAUGCACCGUGUACUAUAUUAACUGCAAUAAAUAACUAUGUGCUAUAUUAACUGCAAUUAUUACACUGUAUACUAAAUUACCUGCAAUAAAUGCACUGUGUGCUAUAACUGCAAUAAAUGCACCGUGUACUAUAGUAACUGCAAUAAAUGCCCUGUAUACUAUAUUACCUGCAAUAAAUAACUAUGUGCUAUAUUAACUGCAAUUAUUACACUGUAUACUAUAUUACUUGCAAUAAAUGCAUUGUGUACUAUAUUAUCUGCAAUUAAUA
Molecule: non-coding RNA, 346 nt
Organism: Pelobates cultripes (western spadefoot toad)
Lineage: Eukaryota; Metazoa; Chordata; Amphibia; Anura; Pelobatidae
Source: the annotation of a GenBank genome assembly